RNAcentral lists this ribosomal RNA (252 nucleotides) under uncultured bacterium. Its description in RNAcentral is "partial 16S ribosomal RNA". It matches the Rfam family "Bacterial small subunit ribosomal RNA", at positions 524 to 776 of the family's 1533-position model. The record is from RNAcentral.
UACGGAGGAUGCGAGCGUUAUCCGGAUUUAUUGGGUUUAAAGGGUGCGUAGGCGGAUUUUUAAGUCAGCGGUAAAAUUGCGGGGCUCAACCUCGUUGAGCCGUUGAAACUGGGUGCCUUGAGUGGGCGAGAAGUACGCGGAAUGCGUGGUGUAGCGGUGAAAUGCAUAGAUAUCACGCAGAACUCCGAUUGCGAAGGCAGCGUACCGGCGCCCAACUGACGCUGAAGCACGAAGGCGUGGGUAUCGAACAGG